GCCGGGCUAGCUCAAUCGGUAGAGCGUGAGACUCUUAGUCAUCGCGGCAUCUCAAGGCUGCGGGUUCGACCCCCGCGUUCGGCU
Molecule: transfer RNA, 84 nt
Filed under: Aspergillus pseudotamarii
Lineage: Eukaryota; Fungi; Ascomycota; Eurotiomycetes; Eurotiales; Aspergillaceae
Rfam family: tRNA
About the family: Transfer RNA (tRNA) molecules are approximately 80 nucleotides in length.
Source: Rfam by way of RNAcentral